UGAGAUUGUGCAGGCACUUGUAGAAUUAGCUGCCCAGGUGGAUGCUAAUAUUAUAUCUGAGUCUGAUGCCCGUGACCGAGUUGAGCAGGUCAUAGAGAGCUUGGCUGCAUACUCUGCCGUCACAGAUUCAGAAGUUAAUGAGGUUGCCUUCACUAACCUCUCUUCAGUCCUGGAACAACUGGAUGCUGUCCAGCCUCAAAGGGGACGAGGACGACCAGCCAUCGACAUCCCUUUCGAGGCCAUAGAGAACUAUUUAUUAAAUGGGUUCAAAGUGAAGGAAAUAGCGGAGCUGUUCGGCGUAGGCUACUAGACCAUCCGUCGGAGGAUGCAAAGCAACGGAUUGAGAAUGUCUGACAUGUAUUCUGCACUGAGUGACGAAGAGCUGGAUGCCAUCAUUGCAGAAAUCCACCAAAGUCACCCUAACACAGGAUACAGGAUGAUGAAGUCAUUCCUUCAUGCCAGGGGACUGCUAGUGCAAAGAUAGAACACCUAUGGAGAGAUGUGUACAUCCAAGUCCUGGACCCAUUCCAUGUUCUCUUUCGAAACCUGGAGAGAGAAGGGAUGUUGAAUCCUGAUGAUGAGAGUCAUCUUUUUGCACUCCACUGGGCUUUUCUGCCUCAACUACAGAGGCAACUGGCCUUCUUCAUGGAUGCUUGGAACAGUCAUAGCCUGAGAACAGCAGGUAGCCAGUCUCCUUACCAACUUUGGGCAUCAUUCAGAAACCUUGAGGAUCCCAAUGAGGUGGAGGCAGACUAUGGUAUUGAUUGGGAUGGACCGUAUGGCUUUGAUGACCUUGGAGGUCAAAGGGAACAAGUUGAUGUACCCCAAGUGCAGCUGCAGCAACACGUGACUGAGGAGGACAUGGCUUGCUUACCUGACCCCAAUGUUCCCUUCUUGGAUGCACUGGACAUCUACACAGCCACACUACAGCAGUUGAUGCAGUGACAGUCUCCCCCUCCCCUUCUCCUAUCCAGGACUGGAUAAAUAGGAGUGAGGCUGCAGGACCAAGAGGUGCAUUCAUACACACUACUCCAAAAAAGUUAGAGAUAUUCAACUUUUGGGUCAAAUUUAUGGAAAAUGUAAAAAGUUCAUGCUACAUGAUAUAUCAUGAAAGUAGGGCAUUCUCUGCCGUUCUGAGACUCUUCCAGUCUAUCUCUGUCUGUUACAACCUGCUGAUGACACUGUGAGACUCUAAGCUCAGUGGCAACUUCCCUCUGAGAACAUCCCACUUGAAGCCUUGUAAUUACUACUACUAUUACUACUACUACUUAUUAUUGGUGAUCGAUUGUCUUGGUCUCAUGUCAAAAUGUGAACAGCUUGAUGAAGAGGACUGUUUAAAUAUAGAAGAGCGGCAGAUGGGUUAGGAUAAAGUGUCCGUCCCUUGUUUGAAUGUCAUUAUCAGUGAAAAUGAGUUGUUACUUUUAUAGUGUUAUAAAAGUUCCUGUUGUGCUCCACUUUUGGAUUUGGACAUUGUAUAGAGUUUAAAUAUUGUCAAAUAUUAAACAAGUCUGCCUUAAAUUUAAUUAUACAUCCUACUACUGUAAUUGGGGAAAA
Molecule: long non-coding RNA, 1554 nt
Organism: Epinephelus fuscoguttatus (brown-marbled grouper)
Lineage: Eukaryota; Metazoa; Chordata; Actinopteri; Perciformes; Serranidae
Exons: 4
Source: RefSeq, a predicted model, not a curated record